UCCUGCGGAAGGAUCAUUA
This 19-nucleotide ribosomal RNA is filed under the name Rhodotorula glutinis. RNAcentral's name for it is "partial 18S ribosomal RNA". RNAcentral also lists the same sequence under 1 other name. Lineage: Eukaryota; Fungi; Basidiomycota; Microbotryomycetes; Sporidiobolales; Sporidiobolaceae. The record is from RNAcentral.